AUUUGCCAAUGGCAGGCAGUACGCACAAGCACAGGGCACUAUCAUAAUGGGAAUGGCAACUACAGAAACACGUAUUGCAGACGAGUGAGGAGUACAGAUCCACAGAGCUGACUAUAUUUUGGUGCACGUCAGUCCCACAAUGCAUCACACAAAGAAGCUGACUGUGGGCUUCCAUCACACCGAUCGGAUAAGAGUGAAUUUACUUUGCAUAUAAUGAAUUUUUGGUAUGAAAAGGGUCAUUGUAUAAGAGCGAAUUCGCACAUACAGAAUCCUCAUAAAGCAAGGGAAGCCUGUAAUAUCAAGAAGAAUUUAGUUAAGCUGACUUCCUG
Molecule: long non-coding RNA, 329 nt
Organism: Gavialis gangeticus (Gharial)
Lineage: Eukaryota; Metazoa; Chordata; Crocodylia; Gavialidae
Exons: 3
Source: RefSeq, a predicted model, not a curated record